AUCAUUUAAAUAUCAUCUGUUGAUUAUUGUAGACGUUUGUUCUAAUUAUGAACACAAUUCGACUCAUUUGAUUUCGGAGUUCUAAUGCAUAUGGAUUAAUACAUUGUCUGAAAAAAAUAUCCAAGGAAGAGACAAUAUAACACAGAGUUACUUUCAGUUAUUACUAAAACUGGUUCGAAAUAUACCCCUCAAAAAAGAACAGAUACAUCUGUUACUGCAUAUCGUUCUUAAAAAAAUGACGUCUAAAGGAUUCUGCACAAGAGGACUUUUACUAUUUCUUAUUUAUACAG
RNAcentral lists this long non-coding RNA (290 nucleotides) under Mytilus galloprovincialis (Mediterranean mussel). Lineage: Eukaryota; Metazoa; Mollusca; Bivalvia; Mytilida; Mytilidae. The record is from RNAcentral.